CUUUUCUUUGCACUUGUUCAGCUUAAUCAUCUAUUUAAUGCUGUAUAGCGACUGCUGGACAUUGGAGUGUGAUGAUCAUGGUGACAAUGUUGAUGACGAUGAUGAUGUUGACGAUGAUGAUCAUGAUGACGAUGAUGGUGACGAUGAUGAUGAUGACGAUAGAUGAUGACUAUGACCAUGAUGAUGACAAUGUUGAUGAUGUGAUUAUUAUGAUGAUGACGAUGAAGAUGAUGAUGACGGCGACGAUGAUGAUAACGAUGGUGAUGAUGAUGACAAUGACGAUGAUAUGACGGCGAUGAUGGUGACGAUGAUGAUGAUGAUGAUUACGAUGAUGGUGACGACGAAGAUGACGAUGAUGCGUGUAUGAAGCAGUGCUGCACGGAGCAGAUGACGGAAUGUCUGGACUGGAUUAUGGCUGAAUGUAAGAAUUUGUAUUCAAAAUUUCUGCAGAGUACGGCGAUCCUUCAUACAGAAGUCAGAUGGUUGAGUAGGAGUAAGGUACGUCACUGUUUUAUUUCCUUGGUGAGUGAAAUUAAGGCUUUAAUGGAACCAAGGGGGGGAGGACACUAACCUGUUGUCUGAUGGCUGCUUGAUCUUGCAUUCUUGGCUGAUGUGACAGAGAAACUGAAUCAGCUCAAUCUUCAGUUACAAGGUAAAGACAAAACCAUAUGUGAUAUGAUCAGUGCUGUGAAGGUAUUUAAAGCAAAACUGUCAUCUUACCUUCAGCAAUUGAAAAACAAAAGAUUGCAACACUUCCCCUCAUUGGUAAAGAUAGAAAGAAAGCCAUGCAAAUGCAACCAAAGUUUUGGAUGUACUCGAGUAUUGUGACCUCCUGUCCAGGCUUGGGCAGGAAUCUGAGGAAAGGUUCAGUGAUUUUGAAAAUCUUGAGAUAUGUGUGGCAUUUGUUGCCAAGUCUUUCAUGGAGAUAGACAUGGAUCACAUUUCAAAGCAGAUGGCUGAACUGUUCAAUGUCAAUGCUGUAGAGAUGGACUUGGAGGUUAUUAAUCUCCAAAAUCAUAUCCAGCUGAAAUCUCAGCAACAUUCACAACAUUUCUGGAGACUUGUAGACCCAGGAAACUACAAGAACAUUCACCAAGCUGCCCUCAAAGCAUCUGCUUUAUUUGGAUCUACAGACCUUUGUGAAGCAGCGUGUUCUGAUAUGAACGUGAUCGAAUCUUAAUUCAGAACAAGACUGACAGAUGAACAUUUAAAUAAUUGCAUAAGAGUGAACCUAAGUGCAUACACACCAGCAUAUACCUCCCUUGUGGAAUCAAUGCAAUGUCAGUCAGCUUAUUAACUGUAAAUAAGUGUGAAUGCACUUCAUGUCAUAUUGGAUAUUCUGUGUUUACAAACAGCAAAGAAGC
Molecule: long non-coding RNA, 1364 nt
Organism: Ictalurus punctatus (channel catfish)
Lineage: Eukaryota; Metazoa; Chordata; Actinopteri; Siluriformes; Ictaluridae
Exons: 3
Source: RefSeq, a predicted model, not a curated record